Molecule: long non-coding RNA, 2493 nt
Organism: Mus musculus (house mouse)
Lineage: Eukaryota; Metazoa; Chordata; Mammalia; Rodentia; Muridae
Product: predicted gene, 29861
Exons: 4
Source: RefSeq, a predicted model, not a curated record
UCCCCUCCUGCCUCCUCUUGUCCCCUCCUGCCCGUUUCUGAAAGGGCACAGCUGCAAAGUCUGGCCCUGGCAAGACUCGGAAGUUCCUUGUAUCCUGAGGAGUCUGCAUGAGCCUGAGCUCACGGAGCUGAAGUCAGCUCACGUUUGAGAAGACGUUGUUCUCACAGGAGCUGCCCGGGAUCCAAGAGGUGGGGACCACGGCACUAGCCAAGCCCUUCCAGCCUCAGGCCCGAAGAGCCAGGCAUCCGCACCAUUCCUUCACUAACGCUAGAGCAGGAACUCUCUCUCUAAACACGCACUAAAAGGCUGAGUGUUGGCCUCAGUGUGGUUCCUACACCAGACACUCCAAGUUCCAAGGCCUGUUUCUAUCCCUGAGCAGCCCCCUCUCCAGGUUCCUAACUAACUGUCUUUCAAAUAACCUUCAGCAUCUGCUAAUGGAUGGACGCCUCACCCAUGGAACCUAGAAACCUGGCCUAAGGGCAGAUGCCUUCAUGUGCAGGAAAGGACAGACAUCUGAACGGCACUUAUUCGGCCUGAGCUCUGUGAUCGGCUGUGGGCAUCCCUGGAGAAGAGCCUCCUCUCAAAGCUGCUUGCCUUAUAAACAUGCAAAUCAGGGGUGGCCUCAACAGCAACAGUGACUCCACAAGUGCAUGACACCCAAGGACUCAGGUGAGUCUGCCCACGGGUUCCCCAUCGCACCCCCAGGUCCUUGGGCCUCGAUAGUUGGGAGAAGAGGAACAAGAACAUGCCCAAGAGUUGGGCAGAGCAGAGCCACUCACCACUGUCGGGCUCAUAGGGCAGCCAGCUGUGCUUGGCAUCCUGGUGGGUAUAGUAGGAGUUUCGCUUGGCACACUGCUGGGCUCGGAAGUCCUCGUAGGGCCCAGGACAGUCCUCACUGUUGCAGAUCUGGUACUCAAACAUGGACCCUGAGCACGGGCGGCCUCCAUAGGCUGGACUGCAGUGGCAGAGAGACCAGGGUCUCAUGCAGCUCAGGCUAGCUUGGACUAUGAGGAUGGCUUUGACCUUUGGAUCAUCUCGUCUCCACCUCCUGAGUAUUGGGACUACAGUGCUUACUGCAGACCGUGGAGGCACUCGGUCAAGACAAAGAGUUCUCCACAUCCACCCCCGUUUCAUAAUAGGAUAUAGUAAACUAAAGUGCAUCAAAGAGAUUUGGUUUUUGAACCAGAAGAGCUGACAUCCAAGUCCUGACCAUUUGGCCUUGGUUCGGGCACUGGGCUUUGCUCUACCUUGACUUCCCCCUUGAAAGGUGGGAUCAUCGGAGCUCACCUCCAGCUGUGACAAAGCAAAGGAGAGCAAUGACACUCUUCUCGAUUAGGUUAAGAGGAUUAGAAAAGACGGUCAAUACAGAGCUGGGGAGAUGGCACCUCUGGCUACUCCUGUGGGUUCAGUGCCUAGCAUCCACAUGGCGGCUCACAAGUCUAUCACUCCAGUUCCCAGAGAUCUGAUGCCCUCUCCUGGCCUCUUCAGGUACUGCAAGCACACAGUGCAUAUACCUACACACAGGCAAAUAAUCACACAAAAUAAAAAUAAAUCUUUUUAAAAAGACUUUUAAGCUGGGUGUGAUGGCAUACACUUCUAAUCUCUAGCCCUUGGUAGGCAGAAGUAGGUGGAUCCCUAUGAGUUUGGGGCCAGCCUGAUCUACAUACUGAGUUUCAGGCCAGCCAAAGCUACCUAGUGAGACCCUGUUUCAAACAAAACAAAACAAAAACCUUUCUAUGUAAAGUAUCCAAGUAUAGGAGGCAACAGUGCCCUGCCCAGAGACUCUAAGAUAACUCUCCAGGUGUAAUGAACUCUCCACUUGAACACACAACAUCCUGCACAUGGUACUUAGGAUACUUUUUAAUAAUAGCAGUUGUUGCCUCUGGAGUGCUUAACCCAUGCUCCAGUGCGGGCAUACAAAUUAUUCCAUUUAAGCCUCAUAAAGCAAAAAGGUAUUUGUUGAGGUUUUGGUCUUUGGCUAUGUAUUUUAAUGUUAAAUACUGGUUGCCCCCAAGGAUGAGAAACUCUGCACUUAUAUCAAGUAAUGCUAUGGGACCUUGUUUCUUUUCUUUUUUUUUAAGAUUUAUUUAUUGAUUAUACAUAAGUACACUGUAGCUGUCUUCAGACACUCCAGAAGAGGGAGUCAGAUCUUGUUACCGAUGGUUGUGUGCCACCAUGUGGUUGCUGGGAUUUGAACUCCUGACCUUCGGAAGAGCAGUUGGGUGCUCUUACCCACUGAGCCAUCUCACCAGCCCCGUGACCUUGUUUCUUAAUGUACAUCUAUUGACUAAAUAAAGAUGCCAACAGCUAUAGCUGGGCAGAAGAAAAUAGGUGGGGUUUUGGUUUCAGGGCUUGGGGUCUGAGGCAGGACCACAAGAGAAAGAAAAGAGAGGAGAGAAGGUGGAGAGAGGAGAGGACACCCUAAGGUAUAUGAGUCAUGAAAAUAUGGUCAUGAGGGCUGGCCAAUCGGAGUUAAGAGCAGCCCAAAUGGAA